Molecule: non-coding RNA, 108 nt
Organism: Acanthosepion pharaonis
Lineage: Eukaryota; Metazoa; Mollusca; Cephalopoda; Sepiida; Sepiidae
Source: the annotation of a GenBank genome assembly
GCCAUAGCACGUUGAAAUACCGGUUACCCUAUGACCAUCGAAGUUAAGCAACGUUGAGCCUGGUCAGUACCUAGAUGGGUGAAAGCUUUUGAAUACCAUAUGCUGUAA